AUGAGCGGUACUGAUCCACGCUUCGAUCCCUUUUGCGUAUGGGGCAAUGAGAUAUUCAUGAACAAGCGUCAAGUGAGGAAACUAAGAAAGAUUGUUAGGCAAAAGAAACGGGUGAUGGGAAUUAAGCUCUUUAUUUACAUUUUGUCCAAGACAUUAGUGAACUUUAGGAUGCUAUUUACUGAUGAUUACCUUGCAAACUACAUAACCGAAGUGGAGGCAACUAAGGUUAAAGUAUAUAAUUCAUGCUACCAUGAUAAUGCUCUAGAAGUCUUCCUGAAGGUGGUGAAGGAUGAGCAGACAGUCGUCAUAAGAGUUGGACAAAAGUAG
This 327-nucleotide ribosomal RNA is filed under the name Triticum aestivum (bread wheat). Its description in RNAcentral is "partial small subunit ribosomal RNA". The record is from RNAcentral. Lineage: Eukaryota; Viridiplantae; Streptophyta; Magnoliopsida; Poales; Poaceae.